Molecule: ribosomal RNA, 429 nt
Filed under: uncultured archaeon
Lineage: Archaea
Description: bacterial SSU rRNA
Rfam family: Archaeal small subunit ribosomal RNA
Source: RNAcentral
UACCUGCAGCUCGAGUGGUAACCGCUAUUAUUGGGCCUAAAGCGUCCGUAGCCGGUUUGGUAAAUAUCUGGGUAAAUCGUGAGGCUUAACUUCACGAAUUUCGGAUAGACUGCCAGACUUGGGAUCGGGGGAGGUCAGAGGUACUCCAGGGGUAGCGGUGAAAUGUUGUAAUCCUUGGAGGACCACCGGUAGCGAAGGCGUCUGACUAGAACGAGUCCGACGGUGAGGGACGAAGCCCUGGGGCGCAAACCGGAUUAGAUACCCGGGUAGUCCAGGGUGUAAACUAUGUGGGGCUUUGUAUUGGAGGUCCCAUGUGGGCGUCCAGUGCAGAAGAGAAGUUGUUAAGCCCACCGCCUGGGAAGUACGGUCGCAAGGCUGAAACUUAAAGGAAUUGGCGGGGGAGCACAGCAACGGGAGGAGCGUGCGGUU